RNAcentral lists this ribosomal RNA (1553 nucleotides) under Salmonella enterica. RNAcentral's name for it is "partial 23S ribosomal RNA". It matches the Rfam family "Bacterial large subunit ribosomal RNA", at positions 1266 to 2802 of the family's 2925-position model. Lineage: Bacteria; Pseudomonadati; Pseudomonadota; Gammaproteobacteria; Enterobacterales; Enterobacteriaceae. The record is from RNAcentral.
AGGGUUGCUGGAGGUAUCAGAAGUGCGAAUGCUGACAUAAGUAACGAUAAAGCGGGUGAAAAGCCCGCUCGCCGGAAGACCAAGGGUUCCUGUCCAACGUUAAUCGGGGCAGGGUGAGUCGACCCCUAAGGCGAGGCCGAAAGGCGUAGUCGAUGGGAAACGGGUUAAUAUUCCCGUACUUGGUGUUACUGCGAAGGGGGGACGGAGAAGGCUAUGUUGGCCGGGCGACGGUUGUCCCGGUUUAAGCGUGUAGGUGUGUGUUCCAGGUAAAUCCGGUUCACUUUAACACUGAGGCGUGAUGACGAGGCACUACGGUGCUGAAGCAACAAAUGCCCUGCUUCCAGGAAAAGCCUCUAAGCAUCAGGUAACAUCAAAUCGUACCCCAAACCGACACAGGUGGUCAGGUAGAGAAUACCAAGGCGCUUGAGAGAACUCGGGUGAAGGAACUAGGCAAAAUGGUGCCGUAACUUCGGGAGAAGGCACGCUGACACGUAGGUGAAGUGAUUUACUCAUGGAGCUGAAGUCAGUCGAAGAUACCAGCUGGCUGCAACUGUUUAUUAAAAACACAGCACUGUGCAAACACGAAAGUGGACGUAUACGGUGUGACGCCUGCCCGGUGCCGGAAGGUUAAUUGAUGGGGUCAGCGCAAGCGAAGCUCCUGAUCGAAGCCCCGGUAAACGGCGGCCGUAACUAUAACGGUCCUAAGGUAGCGAAAUUCCUUGUCGGGUAAGUUCCGACCUGCACGAAUGGCGUAAUGAUGGCCAGGCUGUCUCCACCCGAGACUCAGUGAAAUUGAACUCGCUGUGAAGAUGCAGUGUACCCGCGGCAAGACGGAAAGACCCCGUGAACCUUUACUAUAGCUUGACACUGAACAUUGAGCCUUGAUGUGUAGGAUAGGUGGGAGGCUUUGAAGUGUGGACGCCAGUCUGCAUGGAGCCGACCUUGAAAUACCACCCUUUAAUGUUUGAUGUUCUAACGUGGACCCGUGAUCCGGGUUGCGGACAGUGUCUGGUGGGUAGUUUGACUGGGGCGGUCUCCUCCUAAAGAGUAACGGAGGAGCACGAAGGUUGGCUAAUCCUGGUCGGACAUCAGGAGGUUAGUGCAAUGGCAUAAGCCAGCUUGACUGCGAGCGUGACGGCGCGAGCAGGUGCGAAAGCAGGUCAUAGUGAUCCGGUGGUUCUGAAUGGAAGGGCCAUCGCUCAACGGAUAAAAGGUACUCCGGGGAUAACAGGCUGAUACCGCCCAAGAGUUCAUAUCGACGGCGGUGUUUGGCACCUCGAUGUCGGCUCAUCACAUCCUGGGGCUGAAGUAGGUCCCAAGGGUAUGGCUGUUCGCCAUUUAAAGUGGUACGCGAGCUGGGUUUAGAACGUCGUGAGACAGUUCGGUCCCUAUCUGCCGUGGGCGCUGGAGAACUGAGGGGGGCUGCUCCUAGUACGAGAGGACCGGAGUGGACGCAUCACUGGUGUUCGGGUUGUCAUGCCAAUGGCACUGCCCGGUAGCUAAAUGCGGAAGAGAUAAGUGCUGAAAGCAUCUAAGCACGAAACUUGCCCCGA